GACGAACGCUGGCGGCGUGCUUAACACAUGCAAGUCGAACGGAAAGGCCCUGCUUUGGUGGGGUGCUCGAAUGGCGACCGGGUGAGUAACACGUGAGUAACCUGCACCCGACUUUGGGGUAACUUCAGGACACUGGGGCUAAUACCGGAUAGGAGAUUCUGCUGAAGGUGGGGGGGUGGAAAGUUUCGGCGGUUGGGGAUGGACUCGCGGCUUAUCAGCUUGUUGGUGGGGGGGUGGCUAACCACGGCAUCGACGGGGAGCCGGCCUGAGAGGGUGUCCGGCGACAUUGUGACUGUGAUACGGCCCAGACUCCUACGGGAGGCAGCAGUGUGGAAUAUUGCACAAUGGGCGGAAGCCUCAUGCAGCAACGCCGCGUGCGGGAUGACGGCGUUCGUGUUGUAAACCGCUUUCUCCUUUGACGAAGCGUGAGUGACGGUAAUUGGUAAAGAAGCACCGGCUAACUACGUG
Molecule: ribosomal RNA, 468 nt
Filed under: uncultured bacterium
Lineage: Bacteria
Description: partial 16S ribosomal RNA
Rfam family: Bacterial small subunit ribosomal RNA
Source: RNAcentral